GCGCUAUUUACAGUUUUAUAAAAUUUUGGUCACAUAAUCUCCUUGCAAAAUGAAACAAAUUGCUGUUCUAAAAAAUAGGGGUCCAUGCACUCGUUUUCAAAUUAAAUCAGUUUGAAUGAUAAAAAUCAGUCGAAAAAUGCAUCUUUUCCCGAUAUGUUAUAGUUUGACGUCGCGAAAAUAACAUUUUACGUUAGCAACGUCAUUACCUUCCCUGUAACUGUAUCGUAUGCCCUUAA
This 236-nucleotide long non-coding RNA is filed under the name Mytilus galloprovincialis (Mediterranean mussel). Lineage: Eukaryota; Metazoa; Mollusca; Bivalvia; Mytilida; Mytilidae. The record is from RNAcentral.